AAGAGUUUCAAAACUCCCAUAAACCAUCGCGAACGUUACCACAUGUCGUUGCUUCGGCUGGCAGGCGAGCCCCUCACCGGGGGCGGAGCCUCAUUGCGGCCCCUCACGGGGCGCUGGCCGGAGGGACUAAAACAAACCCUUGCAUUUAUUAGCACCUCUGAGUAUGAUUUUAAAUAAGUCA
This 181-nucleotide unclassified non-coding RNA is filed under the name uncultured Ascomycota. RNAcentral describes it as "sequence contains ITS1". The record is from RNAcentral. Lineage: Eukaryota; Fungi; Ascomycota.